GGUCAUUAUCGAAAUUACUGGGGAGGGUUGUAGCUGGCCUCUCGGGGCACGUGCACGCCCGAGCCUUUAAUCCACACACACCUGUGAACCAAAUGUAAGGGCCCGUGAAAAGGCCCCUACGUAUUAUCAUCGCACCCUUUGUAUUAUCAUAGAAUGUAAAUUGCGUCUUCGCCCUGAAAAGCGUCGACAAAAACUUAUACAACUUUCAACAACGGAUCUCUUGGCUCUCGCAUCGAUGAAGAACGCAGCGAAAUGCGAUAAGUAAUGUGAAUUGCAGAUUUUCAGUGAAUCAUCGAAUCUUUGAACGCACCUUGCGCUCCUUGGUAUUCCGAGGAGCAUGCCUGUUUGAGUGUCAUUAAAUCAUCAACCCCGAGACGUUUGUUCGCCUUGUGGGCUUGGACUUGGAGUGUGCCGGCGAAGGUCGGCUCCUCUCAAAAUCAUCAGCGGGAUUUCAGCCUCUGGGUUCCAGAAGUCGGUGUGAUAAUCAUGUUGCGCCGUCGUCGGAACCCUUCAAGGGCCCCGCUUACAAUCGUCCUCGGACAAACAUCAUUUGAAUUUGACCUCAAAUCAGGUAGGACUACCCGCUGAACUUAAGCAUAUCAAUAAGCGGAGGAAAAGAAACUAACAAGGAUUCCCCUAGUAACUGCGAGUGAAGCGGGAAGAGCUCAAAUUUAAAAUCUGGCGGCCUUGGGUCGUCCGAGUUGUAAUCUGGAGAAGCGCCUUGCCGCGAA
This 731-nucleotide ribosomal RNA is filed under the name ectomycorrhizal root tip 110_Ny1.B1-23.2. RNAcentral's name for it is "eukaryotic LSU rRNA". The stretch from base 201 to 355 matches the Rfam family "5.8S ribosomal RNA". Lineage: Eukaryota; Fungi. The record is from RNAcentral.